RNAcentral lists this ribosomal RNA (492 nucleotides) under uncultured bacterium. RNAcentral describes it as "partial 16S ribosomal RNA". It matches the Rfam family "Bacterial small subunit ribosomal RNA", at positions 29 to 507 of the family's 1533-position model. The record is from RNAcentral.
AGUGAACGCUGGCGGUAGGCCUAACACAUGCAAGUCGAACGGCAGCACAGUAAGAGCUUGCUCCUACGGGUGGCGAGUGGCGGACGGGUGAGGAAUACAUCGGCAUCUACUUUUUCGUGGGGGAUAACGUAGGGAAACUUACGCUAAUACCGCAUACGACCUACGGGUGAAAGCAGGGGAUCUUCGGACCUUGCGCGAUUGAAUGAGCCGAUGUCGGAUUAGCUAGUUGGCGGGGUAAAGGCCCACCAAGGCGACGAUCCGUAGCUGGUCUGAGAGGAUGAUCAGCCACACUGGAACUGAGACACGGUCCAGACUCCUACGGGAGGCAGCAGUGGGGAAUAUUGGACAAUGGGCGCAAGCCUGAUCCAGCCAUACCGCGUGAGUGAAGAAGGCCUUCGGGUUGUAAAGCCCUUUUGUUGGGAAAGAAAAGCAGCGGGAUAAUACCCCGCUGUUCUGACGGUACCCAAAGAAUAAGCACCGGCUAACUUCGUG